RNAcentral lists this ribosomal RNA (493 nucleotides) under Acromia sp. 1 BFS-2018. Its description in RNAcentral is "partial 16S large subunit ribosomal RNA". The record is from RNAcentral. Lineage: Eukaryota; Metazoa; Arthropoda; Insecta; Hymenoptera; Ichneumonidae.
UUUUUGAUUUUAAUUUAAAGUYUAAUCUGCUCAAUGAAGAAUUUUAAAUAGCUGCAGUAUUUUGACUGUACAAAGGUAGCAUAAUCAAUAGUUUUUUAAUUGAAAGCUGGAAUGAAAGAUUGAAUAAAGUAAAAUUUGUCUCAUAUUUAUAAAAUGUAGAAUUUUUUUUUUUGUAAAAAUACAAAAAUGAAUUUAAAAGACGAGAAGACCCUAUAGAUUUUUAUAGAUAAUUUAUAUUAAUAAUUAAAAUUUAAAAAUAAAUUAAUAUUAAUAUUUAUUUGAUUGGGGAAAUUAUUAAAUUAAUUAAAUUUUAAUUAAAUUUAAACAAUAAUAUUUGAUUAGUUGAUCUUAAAUUUAAAAUCAAAAGAAUUAAAUACCUUAGGGAUAACAGCGUAAUUUUCUUGGAUAGAUCAUAUUAAUAAGAAAGUUUGCGACCUCGAUGUUGAAUUAAGAUAAAAUUUUAAUGAAGGAGUWAAAAAAUUUUGGUCUGUUC